UUAAACCCUCUCAAUUAAAACCUCCGCAGAGGACAGCGGUCCCCAAUUCGCAGCCGUAGUCGUAGUCGCAGCCGCAGCCGCAGCCUCCCAUUGGAGUCGCCGGUCGUUUUUUGUCGCUCAGCCAUAGCCGCCCACAAACUCGAAGUCACCGGACCACUGACGCCCUGCUCACUCACCGCUCCGGCCGCCUCUCACUGUCUCCCUCACGCUCUCCGGCGACGACCUCCGCACCUCUCAAGAGUGCAGCCAGCAGUGUUCAUCCUUCAUUCACAAAACAUUUGAUGCCGUAGAUGGAAAACAAGCUAGACGAAAGGGAGUUUUUUUAUCAUGGUAAUACUCUUUCACUAUUUUUUGCAUCAUCAUUUUAUUCAUUUUUUUAAAAAUUAUUUUCUAUGUACUUCCUGUGUUACUAUUUGAAUGCUGACUACUACACUUUUGAUAAGUGACAUUACUUCCACAAACUAUCCAAGAUGUGAUGCACUUGCAUGUACGUUAUUUCAUCAACACUCUAAAUGGAAUGGAGAUAUGGGCCUAAGUUCUGAAGGGAGAGAGAGACUAGUGUAGACUCACAGCAACGUGCCCAAAGUUCAACAACGAUUAAAGAGCUGCUAAAGGAGAACCAUAAUGUAAAACACAUGAGGGAAAUCUUUCAGAAGUCAGAAACAAUCUUCUCUUCUUUCAAAACUUACCAGGCAACUCAGUAUCCACGAUAAUCGAGCAGCUUCUGCCUCCAACUACUCAAAUGGUGAAGCAGGUAAAUAUUAGGCUUAAUACUCUCUCCGGUUUUGAACUCCACAUUUAGUGUGUUUGGAAAGGGCAAAUUGUGUAUCAAGUUGUAUAGAGUAGGUAUGCAUUUGAUUAGAACUUUGUAAACAUUUAGACUUGGUGAUUGGAAUUGUUCAUUGUAUUUUGAAGUAGAUGAUGAAUUUUUGUGUAUUUUGAAAUAUUUUACAUACUAGUAAAAGAUGAUUAUCUUAAUGAAUUGAUCUUUGGUAUUUAUGGUGUUUAAA
Long non-coding RNA from Ipomoea triloba (trilobed morning glory), 1010 nucleotides. RefSeq lists it as uncharacterized. Lineage: Eukaryota; Viridiplantae; Streptophyta; Magnoliopsida; Solanales; Convolvulaceae. The transcript is spliced from 4 exons. The record is from RefSeq and is a predicted model, not a curated record.